AUUGAACGCUGGCGGCAGGUUUAACACAUGCAAGUCGAGCGGAGAUGAGGUGCUUGCACCUUAUCUUAGCGGCGGACGGGUGAGUAAUGCUUAGGAAUCUGCCUAUUAGUGGGGGACAACAUUCCGAAAGGAAUGCUAAUACCGCAUACGUCCUACGGGAGAAAGCAGGGGAUCUUCGGACCUUGCGCUAAUAGAUGAGCCUAAGUCGGAUUAGCUAGUUGGUGGGGUAAAGGCCUACCGAGGCGACGAUCUGUAGCGGGUCUGAGAGGAUGACCCGCCACACUGGGACUGAGACACGGCCCAGACUCCUACGGGAGGCAGCAGUGGGGAAUAUUGGACAAUGGGGGAAACCCUGAUCCAGCCAUGCCGCGUGUGUGAAGAAGGCCUUAUGGUUGUAAAGCACUUUAAGCGAGGAGGAGGCUACUGAGACUAAUACUCUUGGAUAGUGGACGUUACUCGCAGAAUAAGCACCGGCUAACUCUGUGCCAGCCGCCGCCGUAA
This 501-nucleotide ribosomal RNA is filed under the name uncultured bacterium. RNAcentral describes it as "partial 16S ribosomal RNA". It matches the Rfam family "Bacterial small subunit ribosomal RNA", at positions 30 to 523 of the family's 1533-position model. The record is from RNAcentral.